This 502-nucleotide ribosomal RNA is filed under the name uncultured Chloroflexota bacterium. RNAcentral describes it as "bacterial SSU rRNA". It matches the Rfam family "Bacterial small subunit ribosomal RNA", at positions 376 to 896 of the family's 1533-position model. Lineage: Bacteria; Bacillati; Chloroflexota. The record is from RNAcentral.
CGAAAGCCUGAUGCAGCAACGCCGCGUGUGCGAUGAAGGCCUUCGGGUGUAAAGCACUUUUAGCAGGGAAGAGGAGGACGGUACUGCUGAAUAAGCCUCGGCUAACUACGUGCCAGCAGCCGCGGUAAACGUAGGAGGCGAGCGUUAUCCGGAUUUACUGGGUGUAAAGCGCGUGCAGGCGGUUGGCUAAGUUGGGUGUGUAAAGCUCCUGGCUCAACUAGGAGAGGUCGCUCAAGACUGGCCGACUGGAGAGCAGUAGGGGAAGGUGGAAUUCCAGGUGUAGUGGUGAAAUGCGUAGAUAUCUGGAGGAACACCAGUGGCGAAAGCGGCCUUCUGGACUGCAUCUGACGCUCAGACGCGAAAGCUAGGGGAGCAAACGGGAUUAGAGACCCCGGUAGUCCUAGCUGUAAACGAUGUGAACUUGGCGCUGGGUGGGUAAAACCGUUCAGUGCCGAAGCAAACGCGAUAAGUUCACCACCUGAGGACUACGGCCGCAAGGUUA